RNAcentral lists this long non-coding RNA (5784 nucleotides) under Homalodisca vitripennis (glassy-winged sharpshooter). RNAcentral's name for it is "uncharacterized LOC124356163". Lineage: Eukaryota; Metazoa; Arthropoda; Insecta; Hemiptera; Cicadellidae. The record is from RNAcentral.
UAUUGCAUUAUUUGUUAGUUUUGGCCUGCUGGACACCCUGUAUAUACUUUACUUAUAUAAAACAUGUAUAUACCUUUCUGACAUCCAAGGACACAAAUGAGUCUAUUGCAAUUGUCCUAAGGAAGCACUUAUCAAAAACAUCACCAAACUACGUAGAUCCUCAGAGUCUAAAACAACAUUCUAUUCAAAAUGUUGUACAUAUAUGCUAUAUAACGCGGCUUGUGGAAACCUUAACUGCCCCAAAAAAGGUCAACAUGUUGAAAUAUUAUAAGAAUUGAUCUUAUAAAUAUCUUGUCUAACUUGGUACACAUUGUAUUAAUUAACAUUUUUUUGUAUCUUGAACAAUUUUUGAGACAUUGAUUACAUGUACAUCCUAUAACAAUUUUUCUAUCACAGAACUGCGAUAAGAAUGCUUAAACAAGUUGAAACUGGGUACAAAAUUGAUCUUAUAAAUAUCUUGUCUAACUUGGUACACAUUGUAUUAAUUAACAUUUUUUUGUAUCUUGAACAAUUUUUGAGACAUUGAUUACAUGUACAUCCUAUAACAAUUUUUCUAUCACAGAACUGCGAUAAGAAUGCUUAAACAAGUUGAAACUGGGUACAAAAUUGAUCUUACAAAUAUCUUGACUACGUUCGUUGUCCAGCUUGGUACGCUAUUUCAUUCCAUCGUGGCAGCGGUUUAAACUUGGAAACAAUUCAUAACUAACUUCAUUAUUUAUGAAUCCAUAGAAAAAAAUCCUAAAUAGUUCUGGAAUGCUAGUUACAUUUUCUAAACUUUUUGUUAUAAACAAGGGGGGUGGAUAGUAAAUCCCAUGAAAAUAAAUUAAUAAUAUUUCGGCUAUUACCUACAUCUUCCAACUGAACAGGAAGGCCUAUUUUGAUAUAUUUAUAAAAUGUUUAGCAAUUUCUCCUAUGUCUUGUAGAAAAUCUACGAAUCCAGAUCUAAAGUACUAAUUAUGUUGCUGCUUCACAGCAGGUUUUAUGCAGCCUCCAUCAAAGGCAUUAUCUGGAACUCUGAACAGGAACAGGAAAAUGUUCCUAAAUAUAACUGUGUCAUGUUCAUCUGGAGACAUCACAAUUUCUGCCCUCUACUCUGACUCCACAAUAAGACCAACAGGACAAUGUCAUGAACAGCAAAUUUUUCAUAGCAUCUCAUAGGUAAGUCAUUGUCAUUAGGGACACCUUCCUGCAACUCAUCAAGUCUUCCUACUCCAUAACAUCAUUCAUGCUGCCCUUAUCAGGAAUAUCAUGAGAAUCUAGGACAUGAACUAGUCAUUUAUACACAUGGCAGAAAGAAAGAUCCAUCUGGGCAAUCUCUUGUCUCCAGAGUGCUCCAGGAAAGGUUUUGAAGAUCUCCAGGAGUAUUACCUGGAAUGCUGGCAUGAACUGUGAGGAUCUCUCCCUAGCACAACUGAGGUAAGUUAUAGUCAUCGGGAGAAAAUUGUACCCUCAAAAUGUAUUUUGCUGCUUCAGAACCGGUUUCAAAUAGCCUCCAAUAGAGUUUCCAUUGAAACUGAAAUGAACACCAAAUUAUCCAUAAAUACACUCUUAGGCACUCAUGAUUAUUGGUAUAACACUGCUCUUAAUUCUUUAUCAGUAUUCUAGGGCAAGUUCCACAUGAUCUCCAACAGUGUGACAUGAAACCCUGAGAUGGACAUCGAAUGUUCCUUACCUCAGUAUUAUUCUGUAUCUGGUUCCUCACGGUCUUUAAUGGACCUUGCUAAGGGAAAUAAGUUGUGAAAUUUUUCCUAGCAUCAUCAAAGUAAAAAAAUAAGCCUGGUAUACCUGAGGUCAUUCAUAAUUUAUUUGGUGUCAAACAGGGUGUCGCCCAAAAUCUUGAUUGACUGUAUAAAGUCUUGAAACAUUAUUGCCACUACUAUUAUUUUUGACAAUAACUCGUAUUAGUGGCAAUAAUGUAUGAAGACAUCCUGUGCCAUUUCCAUGCUCCAUGACAAUAAAAUAUGAUUAGAAUUUUGUGAUUUUUCACAAGCUUUAGUUCUUCUCUUCACAAUCAGUGGAACUAUCAAUGAAUAGUUUUUAUAUUUCUUUAUAGAAUUGUGGUUUUUAAAUAAAAAUGUUAUGGCCCAGAGUAACUUUUAAGUUUGUUUUCAGAGGGUGCAACCUUGUAAUUUGUGUAAUAACAGUGGACACUAGAACCUUGUCAGCCAUACCUUGUGUAAAAUACUAAGUCUAUUAAUCCAUUUUAAGCAUAACUGCAAGUAAAAAAUGUAUCAACAUAUUGAUUUAAAAAAAGGAAUAGCUUAAAAUCUGAAUAAAUUUUAUCAUAUGUAUUGUUAUUUUAUUUGUGACAAAUCAAACAGACACAGAACCAGACCCUAUUCUACCAAUUAUAGGGUUAUUAAAUUAACAGAAUAAUUAUUCCCCACAAAAAUGUGGAUGGCAAACAAAAUAAUAAAAAGAAUGAAAAUUUAUAUAAUAAGUCAAUUGAGCUAAUUUUGACGACAAACAAUCGUUUUCACUUCUCUUGCAGACGUUCAAUGGAGGCCCAGUGCUGACUCUGAGAGGCCGUUCCAGUGUGUUCAGUGUGGCAGAGACUACAAGUGGAAGUGUUCACUGCGAGCGCACGUCCUGAACGAGUGUGGGAAACCUCCGAAGUGGCUUUGCCCCAAGUGUCCUUACCGAUCCAAAGCUCGGUCAUCGAUGACAUGCUGAUACCACAGGUUACGUACGCGAUGCACAAGAAGCGGCGGUAUAUACCGGACAGGGUGAGAUUACAUCAAGGAGGCCAUGUGCCGGUGGCAACGAGCAAGCGCAGGUGUAUCCUGUGCACAAGGGAGCGCAGAACGCGCUGGCGAUGUUCAGUAUGUGAUGUUCCACUCUGCUUCAACGUCAGAAGGGAUUGUUUCAAAGAGUUCCAUAUGGCUGAGGCGAAGGAAUGAACUCAGUUGUCUUACUUCUGGCGUCCUAUGAGCAAAUUCUCUAUCAGCUAUGUAUAUUCUGGAUGCAUCGGUAUUUUUGCAGUAGCCAUUUGCAGAAAAAUGUUGAUGCAGUUUUCCAGGUAUACAAAGUUAUAAUGAAGUUGAUACUUUGCUAAAUACUGCCUUUUCUAUAAGUCAUCUGUUACUAUAAAAAACUAAAAAUAGUAAUUAAUUAUAAUUUUUGGGGAAAGAUUACUUUAUCUAAAUGAUUUGAGUUUUGGUGUACAUGAUAGGAUGAGGGUAAUCAUAAUCGGGAGAGUAAUUUUAUAGAUUUGACAUUCUUAUUUUUAUUAUUGAGCUGUUUAUUAUCCUCUUUUUUAAAUUUUUUUCUAUUAUCCAUUCUUUUUCCACUCAACAUCGCCAAUCCAGAGCUCAGACCAUUUCUGUUUUAUUGCAUUUUUGAAUGGUAUGAACUGUAAAAAAUGUAAGAUGUGGGACAAAGGUUUAAAAAAUUCAAAAUGUCAUCAUAAAUGCAGACUAGGCUGAAGGCAACGCUUACUUGACAUCUGGACCAAUAUUUAUGUUUGCUGGCUUACGAGACCCAUGGCAGUACAAUUAUAUCUGAGCUUCCUUGGCAUCUCCCUUUACAAAUUUACAAUAUUUGUGACUCACCAUAAUAAGGCUUUAAUAUUUGUAAAGUUUCAUGUAAUUAUUUAUAAACAAUUAUCUAAUCACGUUUAAUUAGUCAAUGAUUUUCAUACUUUAUACUAUGUACUUUUAUAAGAUUUUCUGUUUCAUUAAAAUUUUUGAAUACCAUAUAUUACAACACUUGUAUCUGGUGUGGCUGUAAUAUCUAAAUUACUCGUAUCCACUGCUUGGAGUUUUUUUUGGUGAGCUGAAAUUUAUCCAAACAGUUACAUACCACUACCGUUUCAAUGUACCCCUCUUCAUAACUACUAUAUAAAAAAAAAUGUCUUUUUAAAAUUUCCUCACAAAUUAAAAAGGGCUUUAGAAUUGUAGAAAACUACUACGCUUAAUUCUUAUACUGAGCCCUCAUUUGAAUAUCAUAUUAUGAGCAAAACAUGGUUGUCACUUUGGGAAAUUUGAAAUAAAUUUACCAUGGAGAAUAAGUUUUUGUAAAUUGGAAGUUUAUGAUACGUACAAUUUAAAAUAUUUCAGUACUACGCACAAAUAAAUACAAUAGCAGAACUGUUUCCCUAGAUAGCGAUGGAGAUAGUCGUCCAGUCCGGUGUCCUAUACUCACGUAAACACACACAAGUAAUGAGUUUAAACAAAGUAUGAAUGUGUAUUGUUCGGAUUUCUUCUGAAUAAUUUAGUUAAACUUGAUUUUGUAAAUGGUUUUAUAGGUCGAGUGAAAGAAAAGUAUACGGUACAGUAAAGAUUUUAUUUAUUAUAUCAUGGUAAUAAAGUCCAAUAGCCUUUAUCGGCCGUAGAAGACAUUCUCAUGUAAUGUAGAGGUUUUAUAAUGUUAUUUUCUUAAAUAUUUCUAUGAAAAAACAAGAUUAAGCUCAACUGCAAUACAAUUUAAACUGAACACAUUCUACAAAUGUCACACAAUACACAAACUGUGCACAAUGUUCUAGAAAGGAAAACAUAAAUACAGAUGUAUACCAUCUGUAAUAAAUGUAUGUAUGUCAUAUCGGGUGUGCAGGAAACUGCUCCUAAGUAUUGUUGAAUAUGACUAAAACUACUGUAGUACUAGUUACCUUAAGUAUUAUAGUGGUAUCCUAGCACACUUUAGAUAAAAAUAUACUCCAAUAGUUACCAUCUGCCUAUAAACUUUGUGUUACCAAUUUACUUUUGUUACCAAAGAGUAUGUUUUUAAAUUUGAAUAUUGUUAGUUAAGUUUUAAAAAUAGAAUUAAGUAAAACAUUUUGGUAGUUAUGUAAAUAUUUAUCUAUGUGUGAUUUUUCUUAUUGUAUAUUGUUAUGUUUAAGAAAGGAAUGUUUUUAUAUAUGUGUAAUUUUACUUUAUUAUGUUUUCAAUGUUUUCUCAUUGCCUUCAUGAUUACCCCCAUAAGACCAAUGUAAAAAUGUGUGUUAAAGUUCAGCCAAAUGACAUUCAUCUUGUUGUUGCUUAUAUUGAAAUGAAGCUUCGUGCAGCAUUUCAAGUCAGGUAGGUCUCAAGAUAUCAAGCGGACAGAUAGACAGACGUACAGAAAUACAUUUUCUAGUUCCUCAAGUGAUAGGCUUCACCAAUGCUCAGCCAAUUAUCAUCCAGAGUAACAUGAUAAUAAUUCAAUUAUUUAUAUCAAAAACUAAAAAUGUUAUAUUUAAUUUAGGUUACUAUAACUCUAUUUAAGCCAAUAUUAACUCUAAGUAAAUAAUCAUUCAGGUUUUGUAUCAGAUGUUCAAAUCAAUAAAGACUGAGUCAAAAGGAUAUCAAAGAGCAUUAUAACAAUAAUGCCAUCGCAAUAGUAUUUAAUAUGAUCUUACCAUUGUACUAGUAGUUUAUAUUGAAAACUUUACCAUAGAAUUAGUUGUUUUAUCAUUAUCAAUUCUAGUCACUGCCACAUGUGAUAUUGUGUGUUUUAAUGAGCAUCAACACCAGAAGUGAAAUAAGUGUUCUUAUUCAUUAACGGUCUUAAAACUAUCAAAACUAUGUGAUAUGGUUAGAUAUGUAUAGAUUAUGGUACAUCACAUCAUGCCAUAUAACCUUAUUUUUUCUGAUGAAAGAUAUUAGGCUAUUGUUGUUCUCAAGUUUCUCAGUAAUGAUUUUUUACCAAUUUAAGAGCUUUUGACCACAGUUUCCCAAAUAUUACAUAUCUGUUUUAAACUUAAAACCAUCUUAAGCACCUGACAUUGGAAAAUUCUAAUUCUAGUGUGAAUAAUUAUUUUCUAUUGUUGCUGUUAAAAUUUAAUCAAUAAAAAGUUGUUAAAAUUAC